Long non-coding RNA from Felis catus (domestic cat), 2449 nucleotides. RefSeq lists it as uncharacterized. The record is from RefSeq and is a predicted model, not a curated record. The transcript has 2 exons. NCBI's taxonomy places the organism in Eukaryota, Metazoa, Chordata, Mammalia, Carnivora, Felidae.
AGGCACUGUGGGGCACUCAUUACCUCAUUAACCCGCACAGCCUCACAAGGCAGGGACCGUAAUUAUUCCUGUUGCACAGAUAGGGGGAACCAGCUCUGAGAGGUGAGGCGGCCUGCCCAGGGUUGCAGUCAGUGCUGACAGAUCUGGGCUGGAGACCAGAAUCAUUGGUAAUGAGAAGAUCCCGGAGGGUGGGAAGGGGAAGAAACCGGCAGAAGGCAGCUGGCAGUUACUGCCAGGAGGCCCCUGUCCCUGUGCGUGGCAUCGCCGUCGCCCCGCCCCUGGGGUCCCUCAGCCUAGGGCCGCCAGGAGGAUGAGGCCUAGAAGAAAGCCGGACCCACCCCGGCCUUACCUUAUUGGCCCACUCGACCCGUUCCACAUCUGGGAAGUGGAUCUAGGGAACAGAAACCCCAAAGGUAAGUUAGACCGAACACCUGCCCAUCCCUGAAAACCCAGAAGCGCAGCAGCCCGGCAAGUUCCCGCUCCCACCCCACACACACCUCUGCUCUUCCUCCCCGCCCAGCACCCACUUGGCCAGAGACUCAGCCAGCCCUGCCCCGGAGCGCAUCGUCUGGUGCGGCAGGCAACCAGACCGUACCAAUGCACGGCCAACACUGACACUACUGGGCUCGGAAGCCCUGCACGCGGGUGUGCGAUUCUGUGGAGACUGCUUCUCUCUCCCGCAGCCCCCUCCCCCUCCCAACUGCGCCCUGCAGCCCACAGGCUGGAAGAGCGGGGCUGGAACCCCUUCGCUUGCUUAUGCAAAUAAGACCUUCCUUCCUGGUGGAUACAUACAAUCCCCACCCGGGCUGGCCCAGGGUACCACCCGACUUCGUUCCUUGCCUUUCCCUCCUCCUUAUUCCUUUUAAUGCCACAAGUAAUCAUGGACUCUGGAGAAAAACUAGAAAAUACAGCUAAGCAAAAGGAAAAAUAUUUUAUCACAGAAUGCCAAGGGACAACCACCGUUAACAGGUUCAGCCUAUUGUGGAAACAAGGCUAUGUAGUUCCCACAGAAAUUGAAGUCACCGUGUGUUUUGGUAGUCUGCUUUCUUCCACCUAGUGUAUGUAGGAUUGUAUUGAUUCCUAAGGUAACAACUGCCCGUUUGAAAGCCAUUUUCAUAGGCAACUGGAGAAUGGAAGUGCCCCCCUCGGCUCCCAGGAGCCCCUCCCCAGCAGGCCAGAUCUGUGGUCACAUAGGGGAGCUUCCUUCAGGUCACAGCCCCUAGCCACUGUGCCUGCCAGGUGAGUCCUGCCACUUCCUUGGGUCAGGGAGGGAGCUUGGGGGGGGGGGGCAGGUGAAGCAACAAUCCUACUGGCUAACCUUUGCAUCACCUGAGGGUGCUUAAGCCCUUCCUUGCAAGAGUCUCAGUCUCUGCCAGUGUCUGAGCUUCUCAUAGACCCCCACCCCAACCCCCAAGGUUCUCAGGGACAAAGGGGUAAGACUGUAGUGGUACCUGGCACAAAAUAGGGAUCAGUAAAUGGUAGCAGUGGCUACCAUCACUGUCACCAAGUCCUCUGAGCACAAGGCCAACUCAGGAUCAGAUUCAUGGUGGGCAUUGGAACUCCCAAGGUCAGGAAAGGAGAUGUGUCCAUGCAGUUCACACUCCUAGUGCACACCAGGCCCUGGGCUGGCUCUGGGGAUGCCCUGAAGGCCUAAAUGUAGACCCUGGCCUAGACCACUUGCCCAAGAGGAGAGCUAUUCCCAAAGGAGUGAUAAGCAAUUCAGUCCUCUUAAGGAGUUUUUAACAACCUUGAGAAGUCAAAGAAGCCCAGCGCUUCUGAGUCUCCUGGAACAUUGAGCCAUUCUCCCAGCCCCAGUUCCCCCAGCCCUGGGCAGUGAUCCAUAUAAACUUGGGACAAGCAUCUAAUAGUCUCAGGUGCUAAAGGAAAAUCACUGCCUGGUUCCCAGGGGGAGGGCAGGGGGAGGCUGACUCAGUCCACAGGAACAGAAGGGAAUGGUGGGAAAGGAAUCUUGAGGGAAGUAGGCAGGAAUUAUUAGGGUCAGCCCAUCCAUUUCAGCUGGGGAGAAGCAGCCUACUCACCACCCAUUCCCUGCUGCUGCCCUGGGUCAGGUCCUAAGCUGGUAGCAGGCAAAUGGAGGGUGAGACCCUUUCAUUGCUCCCUAUCACACUGCCCACUAAAGCACACUAAAGAAAAAGCUCCUGCACGUGGGGCUGAACAGACAUCCCCACUGCUCUUUGGUUGCUCCACUCAUUACUAUCUUUGACUUUAUUUCUUCCAGGCAGCCUUUCCUGAUCUCUCAAGUCAGAGACAGGUGUCCCUAUUAUGUGUCUGCUGGUUCUCCUUUGAGACACUUAACACACCUUAAUAGACCUGCUUGUCUGCCUGCCUCCUUACUAGACUGGAAGCUCUCGUGGGCCGACUCGGCCAUGUUCCCUAUUAGUGCCUGUCCCUGACACAUGAAUAUCUUAAUAAAUAUUUGUGGAAUGAA